This 253-nucleotide ribosomal RNA is filed under the name uncultured bacterium. RNAcentral describes it as "partial 16S ribosomal RNA". It matches the Rfam family "Bacterial small subunit ribosomal RNA", at positions 524 to 776 of the family's 1533-position model. The record is from RNAcentral.
UACGGAGGGGGCUAGCGUUGUUCGGAAUUACUGGGCGUAAAGAGCGCGUAGGCGGCCCGUCAAGUCUGGUGUGAAAUCCCCCGGCUCAACCGGGGGGUGCGCCGGGGACUGGGGGGCUUGGAGCGCGGGAGAGGGAGGCGGAAUUCCGGGUGUAGCGGUGAAAUGCGUAGAGAUCCGGAGGAACACCGGCGGUGCAGACGGCCUCCUGGACCGCGGCUGACGCUGAGGCGCGAAAGCGUGGGGAGCAAACAGG